Molecule: unclassified non-coding RNA, 223 nt
Filed under: Melitaea cinxia (Glanville fritillary)
Lineage: Eukaryota; Metazoa; Arthropoda; Insecta; Lepidoptera; Nymphalidae
Description: misc RNA ENSMCXG00005005559.1
Source: RNAcentral
CUGCCCAGCGUGGUGACUAUGGGCAAAACACAUGAGUUCACGUUAUUUUUGGCGUAAACUUGUGGAGGCCUAUGUCCAGCAGUGGACUGUACAGGCUGUAAUGAUGAUGAUGAUGAUGAUGAGUAAAACACAGUUACAAUAAAAAUGAGAAAUAUAUAAAAUGUAAAAUAUCCAUGGUCAAUAAUGUGUGGAUGUGUAUGUGUAAUUUUGUGAGUGUGUAUGC